GCCGGGAUGGCGGAACUGGCAGACGCAGCGGACUCAAAAUCCGCCGACCGCAAGGUCAUCGGGGUUCGACCCCCCGUCCCGGCACCA
Molecule: transfer RNA, 87 nt
Filed under: Acidobacteriaceae bacterium
Lineage: Bacteria; Pseudomonadati; Acidobacteriota; Terriglobia; Terriglobales; Acidobacteriaceae
Also listed under: 1 other name
Description: tRNA-Leu
Rfam family: tRNA
About the family: Transfer RNA (tRNA) molecules are approximately 80 nucleotides in length. Their secondary structure includes four short double-helical elements and three loops (D, anti-codon, and T loops). Further hydrogen bonds mediate the characteristic L-shaped molecular structure. tRNAs have two regions of fundamental functional importance: the anti-codon, which is responsible for specific mRNA codon recognition, and the 3' end, to which the tRNAs corresponding amino acid is attached (by aminoacyl-tRNA synthetases). tRNAs cope with the degeneracy of the genetic code in two manners: having more than one tRNA (with a specific anti-codon) for a particular amino acid; and 'wobble' base-pairing, i.e. permitting non-standard base-pairing at the 3rd anti-codon position.
Source: RNAcentral